UGAGCAAUCUGCCCUUCUCAUCGGAAUAAGCGUUGGAAACGACGUCUAAUGCCGAAUACGACCUCCUUUCGCAUGAUCGGAGGUGGAAAGCUCCGGCGGAGAAGGAUGAGCUCGCGGCCUAUCAG
RNAcentral lists this ribosomal RNA (125 nucleotides) under uncultured bacterium. RNAcentral describes it as "partial 16S ribosomal RNA". It matches the Rfam family "Bacterial small subunit ribosomal RNA", at positions 118 to 244 of the family's 1533-position model. The record is from RNAcentral.